This 1063-nucleotide long non-coding RNA is filed under the name Canis lupus familiaris (dog). RNAcentral describes it as "lncRNA (ENSCAFG00000055138.1)". Lineage: Eukaryota; Metazoa; Chordata; Mammalia; Carnivora; Canidae. The record is from RNAcentral.
GAAUUCAAAUGAGAAUUCAAAAGAAACCCCAAUCUUAAAAGCUAAGGGAGUCUUGCUGAAUACAGCAAACGGAACUGGAAUAUGGUGCAGCGACUGAGUCACGUCCUGGAUGAGGUUCUAAGGACACCUCCGAGGGCCGACCACCGUGUCUAGCCAAAAUUAUCCUUGGCCACAAAAUACUACCUUUUCACUUUUUUGGGCCAGUUUCUCUGCGGCCCUCAAGUCCCUGUCUUCCGGUGGUUUGCUUCCCAGCCGGUGGUGGAGCCCGUGGUGGAGCCCGUGGGGUCCGCGCGGGGCGGCGGGGCUGGAGAGGAGAAGCUCCGCACACCUGAGCCGGGAUGCGUCUCGUUCCCAGCGCGUCUCCCGGGGCUGCGCUCGGCGGGAGCGCUCAGGAGAAGGGUCCGUGGGCCACACGGUCUCCGCCCUUACGCCAGCAGCCCGGCCAAGGGCGGCGCAGAGCCAGCCCCGACCUCCCCGAGUGGGUCGGCGCCAGCGGAGGCCGAGCAUCGCCGACCACGGCCUCGGAGGCCGUAGAGCGGCGCCGCAAAGAGCCGCAGCCCCGCGUGAGCCCCUCAGCGUCUCCGCCGCGUCCCCGUCUGGACUCUUCUUCGCCCCCAGAGGGCGCCGGUGGGCGAGGCAGCCGGCCGCCCUGCGACUGCCCCUCACAAGCAUGGCGCUGGGCUGCCGCGGUGUCGAUGUGUCCUCCCCUCGCCGUCACGGCGCUGCGGGGGGCCGCGGGAAGGGCACGUGCCCCUCAUAAUCAUGGCGCCGGAGGGGCCCUCAGGCAUGGUACGCCCACCUCUCGCCCUGAGGGCGUCAGGGACGGCAAUCCCGACGUGCGCAGGCCCCUCACAACCACGGUAUCGCAACGCAACGGAAGUGCCUCUGUGCCCUGCAGUCGUAACGCCUGAACCCGGCACGGCCUCGGCUUUUCCACACUACCGUCCGCUUCCCUAACUGCAGUGCUGGCGGACGGUGUAACCUGGGCUUUGAAGGCGGGCAUCCGUCCUCACGCUCGUGGUGGCGCAAGUCCGCGGACAACUGCCCUCCACAAUCCUGCCGU